UAAAUCAGCUCAAAAAAUCCCAAAGUUCAGGAGCAAACGGUGUCUUAAGAAUGCAUCCCUCUAGUGCUGCAUAGCAUGGGCUUUUGGAAUAGACAAUCUAAAAUCUGAAGGAUUUGCCCAAAUUCCAUGAAAUAAAUUGUAUCCAGAAAGCUUCCCAGGACCUGUGAGAUAGAAUCUGUACUUGAGAAAGGUCAUGAGAAUGGUUGAUGGUUGGAGCAUUGAGACCCAGUAAACUCCAAAUUAGGAAAAGCCAAGUAGGGAACUUCUAGUUGUUACUCUGACAAGUGCUCUGAGUGCUUUCCUUUAUUGCACAGUCCACAUUUAAAUUAUUAUUUAAAUUAUUUAAAUAUUUGCAUUUAUUUAAAGUUAAAUUAUUUAAAUUGCAUAUUUUGAUAAGUAUCUGUUGAAACUUGUUCUUUUUUGUAAAUAUUUGGGGUUUUUCCUCUCAUACAGCUACUAUGAGAGUGGUCCACCAUUUCUGUGUAGGUAGUC
Molecule: non-coding RNA, 492 nt
Organism: Sturnus vulgaris (Common starling)
Lineage: Eukaryota; Metazoa; Chordata; Aves; Passeriformes; Sturnidae
Source: RefSeq, a predicted model, not a curated record